Molecule: ribosomal RNA, 453 nt
Filed under: uncultured Armophorida
Lineage: Eukaryota; Ciliophora; Armophorea; Armophorida
Description: SSU rRNA
Rfam family: Eukaryotic small subunit ribosomal RNA
Source: RNAcentral
GCGAAAGCAUUUGCCAAGGAUGUGUUCAUUAAUCAAGAACUGAAAGUUGGGGGAUCAAAGACGAUCAGAUACCGUCGGUAGUCUUAACCAUAAACGAUGCCGACUAGAGAUUGGAGGAGAUAAUUGAGCUCCUUCAGCAUUAAGGAGAAAUCAAAGUCUUGGGUUCUGGGGGGAGUAUGGUCGCAAGGCUGAAACUUGAAGGAAUUGACGGAAGGGCACCACCAGGAGUGGAGCCUGCGGCUUAAUCUGACUCAACACGGAGAAAUUUACCAGGUCCAGACAUUGACAGGAUUGACAGAUUGAUAGCUCUUUCUUGAUUCUAUGGGUGUGGUGCAUGCCGUUCUUAGUUGGUGGAGUGAUUUGUCUGGUUAAUUCCGAUAACGAACGAGACCUUAACCUGCUAACUAGUUCUGAGGGUUAUUACCCUUUGUAACUUCUUAGAGGGACUGUGUG